Molecule: ribosomal RNA, 119 nt
Organism: Lepisosteus oculatus (spotted gar)
Lineage: Eukaryota; Metazoa; Chordata; Actinopteri; Semionotiformes; Lepisosteidae
Source: Ensembl
GCCAGCAGCCAUAUCACCCUACAACUUACAACUGGCAUCCCACUGAAGCUAAGCAGGUGUGAGCCUGGUCAGUACCUGAAUGGGAGAUGUCCUGGGAAAACCUAAGGUUGCUGCUGGAA